RNAcentral lists this ribosomal RNA (432 nucleotides) under uncultured bacterium. Its description in RNAcentral is "partial 16S ribosomal RNA". It matches the Rfam family "Bacterial small subunit ribosomal RNA", at positions 29 to 507 of the family's 1533-position model. The record is from RNAcentral.
ACGAACGCUGGCGGCAUGCCUAACACAUGCAAGUCGAACGAGACCUUCGGGUCUAGUGGCGCACGGGUGCGUAACGCGUGGGAACCUGCCCUUAGGUUCGGAAUAACUCCCCGAAAGGGGUGCUAAUACCGGAUAAUGUCUUCGGACCAAAGAUUUAUCGCCUUUGGAUGGGCCCGCGUUGGAUUAGCUAGUUGGUAGGGUAAAAGCCUACCAAGGCGACGAUCCAUAGCUGAUCUGAGAGGAUGAUCAGCCACACUGGGACUGAGACACGGCCCAGACUCCUACGGGAGGCAGCAGUGGGGAAUAUUGGACAAUGGGCGAAAGCCUGAUCCAGCAAUGCCGCGUGAGUGAUGAAGGCCUUAGGGUUGUAAAGCUCUUUUACCCGGGAUGAUAAUGACAGUACCGGGAGAAUAAGCUCCGGCUAACUCCGUG